CGUAGGGUGCAAGCGUUAUCCGGAAUUAUUGGGCGUAAAGAGCUCGUAGGCGGUUUGUCGCGUCUGCUGUGAAAACUGGGGGCUCAACCCCCAGCCUGCAGUGGGUACGGGCAGACUAGAGUGCGGUAGGGGAGAUUGGAAUUCCUGGUGUAGCGGUGGAAUGCGCAGAUAUCAGGAGGAACACCAAUGGCGAAGGCAGAUCUCUGGGCCGUAACUGACGCUGAGGAGCGAAAGCAUGGGGAGCGAACAGGA
Molecule: ribosomal RNA, 252 nt
Filed under: uncultured Microbacteriaceae bacterium
Lineage: Bacteria; Bacillati; Actinomycetota; Actinomycetes; Micrococcales; Microbacteriaceae
Description: partial 16S ribosomal RNA
Rfam family: Bacterial small subunit ribosomal RNA
Source: RNAcentral